GGAAGUAAAAGUCGUAACAAUGUCUCCGUUGGUGAACCAGCGGAGGGAUCAUUACCGAGUUUACAACUCCCAAACCCCUGUGAACUUACCAUUUGUUGCCUCGGCGGUGCCUGCUUCGGCAGCCCGCCAGAGGACCCAAACCCUUGAUUUUAUACAGUAUCUUCUGAGUAAAUGAUUAAAUAAAUCAAAACUUUCAACAACGGAUCUCUUGGUUCUG
RNAcentral lists this unclassified non-coding RNA (217 nucleotides) under plant metagenome. Its description in RNAcentral is "partial contains small subunit ribosomal RNA, internal transcribed spacer 1, and 5.8S ribosomal RNA". The stretch from base 1 to 54 matches the Rfam family "Eukaryotic small subunit ribosomal RNA", at positions 1778 to 1831 of the family's 1831-position model. The record is from RNAcentral.